UAGAGAUAGAGUCUUCCCCUUCGGGGGACAAAGUGACAGGUGGUGCAUGGUUGUCGUCAGCUCGUGUCGUGAGAUGUUGGGUUAAGUCCCGCAACGAGCGCAACCCUUAAGCUUAGUUGCCAGCAUUAAGUUGGGCACUCUAAGUUGACUGCCGGUGACAAACCGGAGGAAGGUGGGGAUGACGUCAAAUCAUCAUGCCCCUUAUGAUUUGGGCUACACACGUGCUACAAUGGACAAUACAAAGGGCAGCUAAACCGCGAGGUCAUGCAAAUCCCAUAAAGUUGUUCUCAGUUCGGAUUGUAGUCUGCAACUCGACUACAUGAAGCUGGAAUCGCUAGUAAUCGUAGAUCAGCAUGCUACGGUGAAUACGUUCCCGGGUCUUGUACACACCGCCCGUCACACCACGAGAGUUUGUAACACCCGAAGCCGGUGGAGUAACCAUUUAUGGAGCUAGCCGUCGAAGGUGGGACAAAUGAUUGGGGUGAAGUCGUAACAAGGUAGCCGUAUCGGAAGGUGCGG
This 519-nucleotide ribosomal RNA is filed under the name uncultured bacterium. RNAcentral describes it as "bacterial SSU rRNA". It matches the Rfam family "Bacterial small subunit ribosomal RNA", at positions 1001 to 1517 of the family's 1533-position model. The record is from RNAcentral.